AGGGUAAGUAGGCCAGCCGUUGGUUGUGCUGGUGCUAAGCUUGUAGGCGUUGAGAGUGGGGUUAAAAGACCACUUGAGCUGAGGAGUGAUGGCGAGUCCGCAAGGGCAGAAGCUACUGAACCCAUGCCACCAAGAAAAGCCUCUAGUGAGACCUGCGUGACCGUACCGCAAACCGACACAGGUAGAUGGGUUGAGAAUACUAAGGGGAACGGGAGAACCUUCGUUAAGGAAUUCGGCAAACUAGAUCCGUAACUUCGGGAUAAGGAUUGGCUCUAAGGGU
This 280-nucleotide ribosomal RNA is filed under the name Striatella unipunctata. Its description in RNAcentral is "partial Bacterial large subunit ribosomal RNA". It matches the Rfam family "Bacterial large subunit ribosomal RNA", at positions 1479 to 1761 of the family's 2925-position model. Lineage: Eukaryota; Bacillariophyta; Striatellaphyceae; Striatellales; Striatellaceae. The record is from RNAcentral.